RNAcentral lists this long non-coding RNA (2340 nucleotides) under Sus scrofa (pig). RNAcentral describes it as "lncRNA (ENSSSCG00025045996.1, ENSSSCG00070030381.1)". Lineage: Eukaryota; Metazoa; Chordata; Mammalia; Artiodactyla; Suidae. The record is from RNAcentral.
CCAGGUGUUUUGUAGAAGUCUAAACAGUCAGUCAGUGGGUAUGAGUCAUCUGACUGUGGUCAGAUUAGAAAUUCCUAAAACAUGAUAUAGGAGCCCAGCAUCUGAGACAGGGAAAAUGAAGAGGGGCAGCCCUCUAUGGCUUCUGCCAACACCUCCACUCCUUGGAAGCCUAAUAUUCCUUCUUAAGUUUUGGACAGUUGCUCAGGAGUUGGGAGCCCAGAAGAAGGGAACCCCCUGGUGUUUUCUACUUUGCGGAGCUCUCCAGAAGACUGACUGCAGAAUGGCCACAAUCAGGUCAACUCAUCAACUGGGGAACAUAGUGCUGGCUUUGGCAUUUCGAGGGGGUUAGAAAGAUACCGCAAAGAUCUAGGUAAGAGGGAAUUCUUUCCACCUCUUUACUUCUGGUAGCAAAGUGCUUCUUCCCAGCUGCUUCCUCAGAAUCGAUGACCUAAUCCCACUUUCCUUUUCCUCAUCUGUAGAAUGGCAGUGAGCUCUUAAAGUGGUUGUGAAGAUACAAGAAAUUGCCAGAUAGUUCGCACAGCGCUUCAGAUAAGGUAGAUACUAAAUAAUUGUUAAGGUCCUUCCCUCUCUACUGUUCACACCUUACUUCAGACCUGCAGCAUGGUCCUUGUGGUUUCUAGUUGUCUUCUGGCUAGAAGUAUUCACUGCUUUACAGAAUUCUGCCAGUGCUACUCUGAUCUAUCCCCAUCUCAGUCCCUGGAGCUAACCACGUCUCACCACUUUGAUUCUCACUUGCAAUACAGAUCUACUGGUUUGCCCUGGAUCCAGUUUACAAUCCUGUCCUGUUAGAUAUAGAUAAAUCACACACAGUUAAAUCUCUAAGCAGAGUAUCCUGUUGGGUAUGAUAUCUAGCAUCAAGACUGGCUCUUCCCUGACAGUCAAGAGGAGAUGGUGUGAUCAGCUCCUUGCUAAAAGCCUUUGAUGCCCCUCCCUGACCCUUUUUUGGCUUUAGACAAGAUGGUUCCUGCAAUCCUCACUGCAUUUACUAUCAAGUCCAAACAUUUUAAUAUGGCCUGUAGGGAGCCACAUAGCUGACUCUACUCACCUGUCCAGCUGCAUCAUCUGCCACCCAUGGCCUUGCUUAUUAUGUUGCUAGUCAUUAGUUUUUAAAAAUCUUCCAUAAACCAGGUGAGCUCUUUUAAAUUUUUUUUUUAAUUUUUUAUUUUUAGGGCAGCACCUGUGGCAUAUUGAGUUUCCCAGGCCAGGGGUUGAAUCAGAGCUGCAGCUGAGGCCUAUGCCACAGCCACAGCAACAUCAGAUGGGAGCUGCAUCCAUGACCUAUGCCCCAGCUUGUGGCAAUGCCAGAUUCUUAACCCACUGAGUAAGGCCGGAUCAAACCUGCGACCUCAAAGAGACUAUAUCGGGUUCUUAGCCUGCUGAGCUACAAUGGGAACCCCCAAGUAAGCUCUUUUUUGCCUUGUGAAAUUAGCACAUGAGUGUUUUUUUUGGACCCCUCAUUGUCCUGCUCUUUAUUUGGCUAGCUCCUUGCUACUCAUUCUUUUAGAUUCAACACAAAUGUGGCUUCCCUGUAGAGUUCUUUUCUGAACCUAAUCUAAAUGUGGUCUCCUCCAGUAUUCUCUUUCAUACUUCUCCUUCCUAGCACUUGUCAUAAUUUCUAGCUGUGGUUUUGCAUUUAAAUUUAUUUGUUUAUUGUCUGUGUUUGCACUAGAAAUGUAUACUCAGUGAAAAUAGGGACAUGCCUGUUUCCUUUACUUCCUGUGCCUAGCAAGAUUUUGGCUCAGGCAAGGCACUCAUUAUUGAGUGAAUGAAACCAACUCUAUUAAUGAGGAAGGUCCCUGGAUUAUUUCCAAAUGCUAACCUGCCCUACAUUUUCCUUGACAAAGUACUUGUUUUGUUUAGUAGGCUUCUGGGGAAUCCCCUUUUCAGAGUUUAUCUUUGGUUAUUGACAGUUUCAAAUGAACAAAAAUUUGUUCCUAAGAAGGCUUUCUAGGAAGAAUCUUUAUCUUUUUACCAUUCAGAAGAUAUUUUUUUCUCCCUAAAACAGGCAAUUCAGUUAAUAUUCAUUACAUAUCUUUUGUGUAAACUUAUAAUAGCUCAAAUUCCACUGGGAAAAAUUCCCAUCACAACAGAUAGCUUUGUGUAAUGAAAAGACUUUUCAUGCCCUGAGUUUGUAGGUUGAAAACUAGUCCAAAAAUCCAAGUCUGUUCAUUAGUGAAUAAUACACAAUUCUAUAGUUCUUACUAUUUACAUGUGGCUAGGCCAUACUAUUAUGGGGGGUAUUAGGAUAUUUCUAAAAUUUGGUGUUACAAGCACCAGUGUAUUAAUAAAAUUCAUCAGGAUUUGAAUUUCUACUUCUUU